GGGGGCGUAGUUCAGUCGGGAGAACGCCUGCUUUGCAAGCAGGAGGUCGGCGGUUCGAUUCCGCCCGCCUCCA
RNAcentral lists this transfer RNA (73 nucleotides) under Caldifarciminota bacterium. RNAcentral describes it as "tRNA-Ala". It matches the Rfam family "tRNA". Rfam says of the family: Transfer RNA (tRNA) molecules are approximately 80 nucleotides in length. Their secondary structure includes four short double-helical elements and three loops (D, anti-codon, and T loops). Further hydrogen bonds mediate the characteristic L-shaped molecular structure. tRNAs have two regions of fundamental functional importance: the anti-codon, which is responsible for specific mRNA codon recognition, and the 3' end, to which the tRNAs corresponding amino acid is attached (by aminoacyl-tRNA synthetases). tRNAs cope with the degeneracy of the genetic code in two manners: having more than one tRNA (with a specific anti-codon) for a particular amino acid; and 'wobble' base-pairing, i.e. permitting non-standard base-pairing at the 3rd anti-codon position. RNAcentral also lists the same sequence under 1 other name. The record is from RNAcentral. Lineage: Bacteria; Pseudomonadati; Caldifarciminota.